Long non-coding RNA from Ipomoea triloba (trilobed morning glory), 866 nucleotides. RefSeq lists it as uncharacterized. The record is from RefSeq and is a predicted model, not a curated record. NCBI's taxonomy places the organism in Eukaryota, Viridiplantae, Streptophyta, Magnoliopsida, Solanales, Convolvulaceae. The transcript has 4 exons.
CACCCAUCCCUCUGCCGCCCUCACCCAUCGCGCACUCUUCGCCUCUCACCCCUCGAAUCGUCUCUCUCUGUCUCGCAGCCUUUGCUGUUCUCCGCCUGGAUGUCUCCGGCUCUCCACCAUCGGCGUCUCCAGCUCUCCAACCUUGGCGCUCUCAUCGUCUCUCUGUCUUGCAGCCUCUCCGUUUCCGGCUCUCCACCCUAGGCUUCUCCGACUCUAUGCCCUCAAUGCUUUCGUGCUCGAAGGUGCUGGUAGAAAGGCCCAGUCAACACCUGGUAGGAGAGGGUUCAGGAAUUCCAAAGUCGUUUCUCCCCUCGCUCUGAAUCUGCUCCCUACCAGAGAGCUUUCUUUUCAGAUACAUGGAGAGACCAUGAAGUUUUCUUAUGAAUGAGACAGGAUUAAAGAUAGUGGUUGCAUAUGGAGGGGCAUCAAUACUUCCAUAGGUGGAAUCAGCAAAUGUCAAUGGGCACGCUAAAAUUGGGUCAAGGAAACUGCCAGCAGAUGUCACAUUCUCAACCUGGUACAGUGGGACAGAACCAACCAACUGGAGUUGAUGUUCAAGCCCUUGCUAAGCUGACUCUUGCUCUUGAAAAAAGGUGUAUAUGGUGAUGACAACCCUUGGUAAUGCUGGGAUAUAUAUUGUUUAGUAUGCUGUUCAAACCCUUCCAAGAAGGGGUUCUAUCAGUUUUGCAUCUCCUAGUCCACUCCUUCCCAAAACAAAUGAGAAACACAAAUAAAAAGUUGUCCUGAGUACCACUACAUAAAUAUAAAAUAUGUAGGAAGUUGCAUACUGUAAAAUUCUUAUAAUUUUUCAUGAAAUAGAGCUUUAAAAUGAUAAUAAAGGGAAAUACCUCUUUGUUUCCUGAUCU